ACACUGUCUCGUGUAUACCUCCUUUGGGGCCUAGCGUCCUUGCUGGCACACUGUCUCGUGUAUACCUCCUUUGAGGCUAGCCUCCUUGCUGCCGUAUUGUCUGGUGUCUACCCCUUUCACGACUAGCCUUGAUACCAUUUGUAGCAGUCCAAGUCCACUCCCGAACGGAUGUGAUCUCACGGUUCGCAAUUGAGAUGUCUGUGAUCAUGAAUAACCAGGUGAGUUGAUGAGCGGAUGAAGGAGCUUCUGGAAUUCAAACAUUUCAACCUUCAUAAUCUAAAGGCACGUGGAUCAGGAGUUGACCGCCAGCGAAGCGAAGUAUAAAACGUGCUCUCUGCUAAUUGGUCCACGUGUGAAGGGCCGCCAAAACCCGC
This is a long non-coding RNA of Cucurbita moschata (crookneck pumpkin), 374 nucleotides long. RefSeq lists it as uncharacterized. The record is from RefSeq and is a predicted model, not a curated record. Lineage: Eukaryota; Viridiplantae; Streptophyta; Magnoliopsida; Cucurbitales; Cucurbitaceae. The transcript has 3 exons.